RNAcentral lists this unclassified non-coding RNA (247 nucleotides) under Hevea brasiliensis (rubber tree). Lineage: Eukaryota; Viridiplantae; Streptophyta; Magnoliopsida; Malpighiales; Euphorbiaceae. The record is from RNAcentral.
UUUGAAUGCAGAUGCACGAAUCACACUAGUCAUAUUGUGCACUCAGGCCACUAGCCAGUGCUGAAGUUGAACUUUAGUGAUUCCUGUUUGUGUAGAUUAUAUCUAUCCAUUUGACAUUAACUGUUUGAAGAAGUUGCAACAGUGUCCAGCAACUGGGGAUCAUUCCAAAAAUAGGUGAUUCCAUGAACUGGGAGAUUGCUAUUUGAUAUGCUUGAUGUCAAUCUGCAUCAUCUUUUGGCCAAGGAGA